UGGAACCUUUUAGGACCGCUGAAAAAUGACUGACUUCACCCGCUCGAGUUAGGGACAACAGCUGCUGUGGGAAUUGUGCUGCACUGGGAAACGUACACCUGCCUCUACAUUAGUUCAUUACAAGACCUUUACUUCAGAAGUUGUCUUCUUUGGACAGAAGCCUGGUGGAAACUCUUCCUGAUGUUUUCCAGCUACUUUUACAUCCAAUUGAAGGUCAUCUUGUAUCAUGUUUUGUUACUUUCCAUAUGAGAAUGUCAGGAAGAAAAGUAAUAAAGUUUGCCAACACUA
This is a long non-coding RNA of Oxyura jamaicensis (ruddy duck), 288 nucleotides long. RefSeq lists it as uncharacterized. Lineage: Eukaryota; Metazoa; Chordata; Aves; Anseriformes; Anatidae. The transcript is spliced from 2 exons. The record is from RefSeq and is a predicted model, not a curated record.